AACGCACCUUGCGCUCCUUGGUAUUCCGAGGAGCAUGCCUGUUUGAGUGUCAUGGAAUCAUCAACUUCAAUAGCUUUUGUUAUUGAAGCUUGGACUUGGAGGUCUGUGUCGGCUCGCAAGAGUGGACUCCUCUCAAAUGCAUUAGCGUGAACCUGACGGAUCGCCUUCAGUGUGAUAAUUAUCUGCGCUGUGGUGUGAAGUCAAUUAGUGUUCGAGCUUACAACCGUCCGCAAGGACAAUUACUUGACAAUCUGACCUCAAAUCAGGUAGGACUACCCGCUGAACUUAA
Molecule: unclassified non-coding RNA, 289 nt
Filed under: Sarcodontia sp.
Lineage: Eukaryota; Fungi; Basidiomycota; Agaricomycetes; Polyporales; Meruliaceae
Also listed under: 2 other names
Description: partial contains 5.8S ribosomal RNA, internal transcribed spacer 2, and large subunit ribosomal RNA
Rfam family: 5.8S ribosomal RNA (bases 1-52)
Source: RNAcentral